Molecule: ribosomal RNA, 253 nt
Filed under: Roseburia faecis M72/1
Lineage: Bacteria; Bacillati; Bacillota; Clostridia; Lachnospirales; Lachnospiraceae
Description: partial 16S ribosomal RNA
Rfam family: Bacterial small subunit ribosomal RNA
Source: RNAcentral
UACGUAUGGUGCAAGCGUUAUCCGGAUUUACUGGGUGUAAAGGGGGCGCAGGCGGUGCGGCAAGUCUGAUGUGAAAGCCCGGGGCUCAACCCCGGUACUGCAUUGGAAACUGUCGUACUAGAGUGUCGGAGGGGUAAGCGGAAUUCCUAGUGUAGCGGUGAAAUGCGUAGAUAUUAGGAGGAACACCAGUGGCGAAGGCGGCUUACUGGACGAUAACUGACGCUGAGGCUCGAAAGCGUGGGGAGCAAACAGG